AUAUAUAUAUAUAUAUAUAUAUAUUAAUGUACGGUAUGUAUACAUCUGUAGAUUGCUAUAAUUUCUAAAACAAAAUACAGAAAAAUAUUAACACAACAGUUUAAUUAUUGUAUAGACUUUUCAGAAUGCUUUGGCCUAAAUUGUGCUGAUGUGCCCAAAAUGCAAAUAUCAUAGCUAUCACUAAAAAUACUUUUUUUCCUAAGUAAUGAUUGCAACUUAUCCAUCUUGCAUUCACCUGUAUUAUAAAUGUGUUUCACAUUUUCAAAUUUCAAAAAAAAAAAUAUUCUCAAUUAUAGGUGGUUGAAAAGAUAUUUUUUCAAAAAUUUUCAGCUGUUUUUUUUUUUACCUAUUUUUCUUUUAACUUAUUUUAACUUCAGUUGUCUUAAAAGUAUGUUUUAUUCAAAGUGUAGUAAAUAGGAUUUUCAAUGCAAUAAAACCAAUGAUCUGAAAGAUACUUUGUAGAACAAAACCUAUUUCAACUGUGAGGGAAAAUUAUUUAUGGACAUAAAAUUUAUCGUAUGUGAUGAUUUUGUAUUUGUCAUAAAAUUUAAAUAAAACUUUCUAACUAAAAC
Biomphalaria pfeifferi is the source of this 572-nucleotide non-coding RNA. The record is from the annotation of a GenBank genome assembly. NCBI's taxonomy places the organism in Eukaryota, Metazoa, Mollusca, Gastropoda, Planorbidae.